This 256-nucleotide ribosomal RNA is filed under the name uncultured bacterium. RNAcentral's name for it is "partial 16S ribosomal RNA". It matches the Rfam family "Bacterial small subunit ribosomal RNA", at positions 524 to 776 of the family's 1533-position model. The record is from RNAcentral.
UACAGAGACUGCAAGCGUUAUUCGGAUUCACUGGGCGUAAAGGGUGCGCAGGCGGCCAAGUGUGUGAGGCGUGAAAGCCUGGGAGCUUAACUCCAGAAUUGCACCUCAAACUACAUGGCUAGAGCAUUGGGAGAGGGUAGCGGAAUUCACGGUGUAGCAGUGAAAUGCGUAGAUAUCGUGAGGAACACCAGAGGCGAAGGCGGCUACCUGGACAAUUGCUGACGCUCAGGCACGAAAAGCGUGGGGAGCAAAAGGG